Molecule: ribosomal RNA, 468 nt
Filed under: uncultured bacterium
Lineage: Bacteria
Description: partial 16S ribosomal RNA
Rfam family: Bacterial small subunit ribosomal RNA
Source: RNAcentral
GACGAACGCUGGCGGCGUGCUUAACACAUGCAAGUCGAACGGAAAGGCCCUGCUUUUGUGGGGUGCUCGAGUGGCGAACGGGUGAGUAACACGUGAGUAACCUGCCCUUGACUUUGGGAUAACUUCAGGAAACUGGGGCUAAUACCGGAGAGGAGCUCCUGCUGCAUGGUGGGGGUUGGAAAGUUUCGGCGGUUGGGGAUGGACUCGCGGCUUAUGAGCUUGUUGGUGGGGUAGUGGCUUACCAAGGCUUUGACGGAUAGCCGGCCUGGGAGGGUGACCGGGCACAAUGGGACUGAGAUACGGCGCAGAGUGCAACGGGGGGCAGCAGUGGAGAAUAUUGUACAACGGGCGGAAGCGUGUGACAGCAACGCCGCGUUCGGGAUGACGGCCUUCGGGGUAGAAACCGCUGUCGCCUGUGACGAAGCGGGAGUGACGGUAAUGGGUAAAGAAGCACCGGCUAACUACGUG